GCCUGUUUAGCUCAGAGGUCAGAGCGCCGCACUUGUAAUGCGAUGGUCACCGGUUCGACUCCGGUAGCGGGCU
This 73-nucleotide transfer RNA is filed under the name Leiosporoceros dussii. Its description in RNAcentral is "tRNA-Thr". It matches the Rfam family "tRNA". Rfam says of the family: Transfer RNA (tRNA) molecules are approximately 80 nucleotides in length. Lineage: Eukaryota; Viridiplantae; Streptophyta; Leiosporocerotopsida; Leiosporocerotales; Leiosporocerotaceae. The record is from RNAcentral.